UACAGAGGGUGCAAGCGUUAAUCGGAUUUACUGGGCGUAAAGCGUGUGUAGGUGGCUACCUAAGUCGAUUGUGAAAUCCCUGGGCUCAACCUGGGAAUUGCAGUCGAUACUGGGCAGCUCGAGUUCGGUAGAGGGUGACGGAGUUCCCGGUGUAGCGGUGAAAUGCGUAGAUAUCGGGAGGAACAUCGAUGGCGAAGGCAGGUCUCUGGGCCGAUACUGACGCUGAGGAGCGAAAGCGUGGGGAGCGAACAGG
This 253-nucleotide ribosomal RNA is filed under the name uncultured bacterium. RNAcentral describes it as "partial 16S ribosomal RNA". It matches the Rfam family "Bacterial small subunit ribosomal RNA", at positions 524 to 776 of the family's 1533-position model. The record is from RNAcentral.